Molecule: ribosomal RNA, 406 nt
Filed under: uncultured bacterium
Lineage: Bacteria
Description: partial 16S ribosomal RNA
Rfam family: Bacterial small subunit ribosomal RNA
Source: RNAcentral
AUUGAACGCUGGCGGCAGGCCUAACACAUGCAAGUCGAACGCGUGGCGCACGGGUGAGUAAUGUCUGGGAACCUGCCCGAUGGAGGGGGAUAACUCCUGGAACCGGUAGUUAUUACCGCAUACCAGCCGCUUGUCCCAGAUGGGAUUGGCUAGUAGGUGGGGUAAUGGCUCACCUAGGCGACGAUCCCUAGCUGGUCUGAGAGGAUGACCAGCCACACUGGAACUGAGACACGGUCCAGACUCCUACGGGAGGCAGCAGUGGGGAAUAUUGCACAAUGGGCGCAAGCCUGAUGCAGCCAUGCCGCGUGUAUGAAGAAGGCCUUCGGGUUGUAAAGUACUUUCAGCGAGGAGGCGUUACUCGCAGAAGAAGCACCGGCUAACUCCGUGCCAGCAGCCGCGGUAAUAC